RNAcentral lists this long non-coding RNA (17485 nucleotides) under Vitis vinifera (wine grape). Its description in RNAcentral is "long non-coding RNA (VVIN_LNC000334)". Lineage: Eukaryota; Viridiplantae; Streptophyta; Magnoliopsida; Vitales; Vitaceae. The record is from RNAcentral.
CGACCGCACUAAAUGGAUCAUCCAGGAGAUAUACAUCUGCAUCCUGAUAUAAUGCGCGUGCGAGUUGAACCCGUUGCUUUUGUCCACCACUCAGAUUAACACCUCUUUCUCCUAUUUCAGUGAGAUCACCAAAUGGAAGCAUCUCAAGGUCCUUCACUAGGGCACACUUCUCAAUAGCCUCUCUGUAUCUGUAAGGAUCCAUAGCUGACCCAAACAGAAUAUUUUCUUGUAUGGUCCCUGUUGGAAUCCAAGCUGUCUGAGAGACGUAAGCAAUCUUUCCAUAAACUCGAACCUGGAAAAGAUGGAUCCAGAAUUUGUAUUAAGACUUUAGUUGAGGUAAGUCUCCUAGAACCUUUUAGGGCUCAUGAAGUUGUCUACCUUCCCCAUUUUCCUCCAUGAUGUUAAUAUCUACCAAAUGAAGUGUGUAUAAAUCAGGAAUGAUGCAUUACUUCUUUCAGAUUUUAAGUUUGUUUUCUUUCGUAUUCCUACUUAGGAAACCAUGAAAGAAUGUAAAAAUUCAUGCCAGUUUGUUGUUAUUCAUUCCAGAACAACUGUGCACAAAGUAGCUGUUUAGUAUUUAUUCUAGUCCAUGGAUGAGGAAGAAAUGGAAUUGAAAGGGGUACUUACUAUGCCAUUAAUGUGUGGAACUUCUCCAAGAAUAGCAGCUAAUAGUGUUGAUUUACCUGAGCCAACCUCUCCACAAAUAGCUACCCUUUCCCCAGGCUUAACCACCAAAUUUAUGUUCCUUAGUGUAGCCCUUGUAGAGUUAUCCUCCCAUGAAAUUCUGUUGCUCUUGAUAAAAAUGGAUUCCUCCAGCUCCUUUCCAUCACACAUCUUCCUUACAUGUUUGUUCUGCAGCUCUGGUGCGUCAAGAAACUUUGCAAUCCGAUCUAACGAAACCUUGGCCUCAAUGAAUGCUGUAAUGACAUCAGGGAUUAACCUAAUUGGCUCCUGGGCAAUGCGUAAACUUGCCAUAAAUGUGAAAACAUUGCUAGCAGAGAGAGUAGUUCCAAUAAAGUAGCAUGCCGUGAAAGUAAUGGCUGAUACUACAAUGGGAGAUGACCAAAACAGAAUCAGACUGUACCCUUUCUGUGACAGAACUGACACUAACCACUUGAACUCCUCUUUCCUUAACCUUUCUAUGACAUUCUUGAAAUGAGUCUCCCAAGCGUACAGCUUCAGGCUUUUCAUGUUUGUAAGUGCCUCUGUGAAAGCCUUCAGCCUCUUGUCCUGAGUUCCCAUGAGCAUUUUCUGGUACUUGUGUUGUAACCUUCCCAUGGGAGAGUUUGCAACUACAGUCAAUAUUACUACAAACAGAGCUGCUAUAGUUGCAAGCCCCAACGAAUAGUAAAUAAUAAUCAAUGCCAGACACAACUGGAGGCUUGUUGACCAGAUCUGGUGAAACCAGUACGGGAAUUCACCUAUAUUGUAAGCAUCAAUAAUAACAAAGCUCACGAUCUGAGCAGGGGAAUACAACCCCUUUGCAGUGUUUGAGAGCUUAAGCUGCUUCUGAUAGAUGGCUGCAGAUAGAAACGAUCUCACUUGGAGCCCAAUCAAUCUAGUUCGAAAGAACCACUGCCUCUCUGAUAACGAUUCUAAGCAUUUAGUAAGGAAGAGCCCUCCCGUCAGUGCAUAACCUUCAUACUUAAAAGCUUCUUUGCCUUCAGCAACCAGGAUGAAGGCUCUAAGAAACAGAGGGCCAGUAGAAAGUGUUAGCACCUUCAUCAAUGCAAAGAAGCCAGAAAUCAAAAUCUGUUUCCACUGCCACAAUAAUAUAGUCGACAAAAUGGAAGGAGAGUCAGAUGACUGCUGUUUCUGCUUGUUCUGCUGUUCCAUGAACAUUAAGUAACACAUUUCCGCUCGAUCUUCCCUUCUUAGCUGUGGAAUGUCUUUGUCCUCGAGAGUUUUCUGCUUACCUUUCUUCAUCAACGAAUUCAACCACCAAAAUGACAUUCUACUAAUAAGCCCAGCUUUCUCAAAAGGGGGUAAGCUGGCAUCUGUAUUGAUUUUAUCACCAGCACUGCUUCCUUCACCUGGCAAAGGUCUAUAGAAGGCAGCACCAUCAAAUCCUGAAUCAGUUCCUGCAUAUUUUGGUCCCGUAAAAGUGCAGAACAUCAAUAGAAUCGCUCCAGGAAAAGAUAUAACAUCUAAAAUCACCUUAACUGAUACUGCAUCGCCCACAAUAGCUUCCCAGAAAGAUGUAACACAGGGAAAACCUGCGAUAAAGAAUGCAAGUACUGAACAGAGCCUCAGCCCUGCAUUAUGUAGAAGUUGAUGCCUCUUAAACCUCACAGCUAAACCCAGAAAAAACCAGGUGAAGCCUUGUAAUAAGACCACUAGCCAGCCAUGCAGAGGUAGAAUGGUGUUCUCUUCACUCAGCUUCUCUCCCACAAUCCAGAACCCCAAACCGAGAUAAACCAACCCUAAACUACCAUUAAGAAAGGCAGCAGAAUUUAGCAUUGUGGAAAAGCAUCUAGACUGUUGAGGGGAUAAGAUCUUCAUAGCUGAUGCUUUAUAUAUGAAGAUAAAUAAUAAGUAGAGCAAGACGAUGAUGUCAACAGAAAUGACCAAAAUAUGAUUGAGACAUGAACAUGGACAGACGAUGGCUAGGAACCCAGAACUGCAUAUCUUUCCAAUUUUACUCCAACACCAGGAACUUCCACAGAAAACAGUCCAGAGACUCUCACCCAUGUUGUAUCUUCUUGCCUUCACAAAACUGUAGCUGUAAUAAAGUAAAGAAAACAAAGGGGUUAUUUAUUAGAUUUUUGGUGUUUUAGACUUGGGAAGUAGUACUAAACAUGAGAACCAUCAAUGCAUGCCUAAUAGUUUCAAUUUUCAGUUGAAAUUAAAAGUAAAAUUUAUCAUACAGGACUGAUCUAAACUUAAUUUCACAACCCCAGGUGCCUAAGAUCAGGAGAAAGAAUCCAAGAACAACUGAACUGAGAUUGAAGAGAACUGACUAAAGACAUAGAACACAAGAAAUUGCAGAAAAAAAGUAGGGAGAAUGGGAUCCAAUGGAGAUGAAUCAAACAUGAAAUCAGAAGAAGAUGUGAACAAGUUCAGGAAACUUAUGCAAAACUCCCCAUUUUUCCGUUUGAUUGUUGAGAAAAAUGCUGGAAAGUAAAUGAAAACCUUAAAUCUCAUAACAAGUAGGGGAUGGAGUGGUAGUUUUAAGAUUGCAAAACUUCUUUUCUUUUACCAUGAGUCUCAGUAACCAAACACACAAACAACCCCACUAGAUCUGUUCUCUCAAGCUGAAAGGAUGAACCCAAAAAAUACGAGAACAACAAGAUCAAACACUUACCUUAGGAUACGUUGGACAAUGAUGUCAAACCAAACCAGAUUUUUUUAUUUAAGCUAAAAUUUCAGUCCAAAUUCCAAAUACUGAACAAAGACUUGAGCAUUUAAGGUAGAAAAACAGAACCCAGAAGAGGAAAAUAAUAGAAAAUUAAUAUUCACAAUGCACCGAGUCAGCCCACAAGAAAAUGAAGCGUCAUAUGAAGGACCCAGGAAUUCAAAGCAAUUAAUGAAGAAACAGACAGAAAGAUGGAGCUACUUCAGAGAGUGAAAAGUGAAAACCAUCUUGAACCAAUUAUAGAAAGCACAGAACAUGGUGGUGGACAAAAUAUUAUGCUGAAGAAGUGCUACAAAAUCCAUAUAGGUAAAAAACCUGCAUAGGCCAUCCAGAAUCUCACCAUCCCUCAUCAAAUCUGUCUGUUUUUUCUCCUUUUUUUUCCCUUCUUUUUUAGUGAGCAUAGGUCAUUCAGAAUAUCACUCUGCCUCAUCAAAUCAUGGGUGUUCAUCUCGCCCUCUUCUACACCUCACUGCUCUCUUUCCUUGCAUUAUAUUAAUGUGUUGUUCCACUCAAACGACAAAUCGAGUUGUUCUCAUGCUUCACGAUGUCGUUGUUGAGGGAGAAUAUUAUCAAGUCUCUGUGUAUAUAUUGUUUCUGUCCACUUCUAUGGAAUUGAUUCUCUAGCUAUAUGGUUAGGUUCGACUGAUGGAAUCAUUUCAUUAAUCUCAAAGUCACCCUCAUUCUCUGCUCCAAUGAUUUUAUUUUUAUAUUUUAUAUUAAAAAAUGACAUUCAGACUGACGUGAUCAACAACACCAUCAGAAUUCUCUUAACCCAACCCUGGGCCUACUACCUUAUAAUUUAAGUUUUUAAAACGAUUUUCGAAAAAAUCAUUUUCAAAAAUAAUUUUAUGAUAGUUUUUAAAAUAAAAUUAAGAAUUUGAAUUAUUUUUUAAUCUAUCUUAUAUAUUUUCAAAUAUUUUUUAAAAAUAAUUUUUAUUUAUAAUAUUUUAUUUUUAUUAAUUCUCUGUAUUUAUAUAAAUAUUUCUUAAAACAAUUCAAAAAAAUAAGUAAAAAUAGUUAAAAUAUGUUAUCACAAAAUAUCAAAACAAGUUCUUAAAAAUAUAUUUUUUGUCAAAAAAAUCACUAAUGUUUUUGUGGACCCCGCAUUUUCGGCUCAUGCGUUUCCCACUCGAUGGCGAGCUCGAUUUUUAUUUGAAAAAUGAUUUUUAUUGAUUAAGAAAAUGACUUGGAGUCGCCACUUAUUUUUGUUUUAUUUUUAAAAGGGUAAACAAAAUAAGAAAGAAAAACCCUAAGUGUGACUCUUUAUUUUGGAAAAGACGGUCUACGAAAAAUCGGGUCGAGUUCAGGGGUCAGGUUACUUAUCGGGAAGGUACGGUAAGGACCGUAGCACCCUUCUAAGUCCCUAAAGUCGGGUCUCUACUAAUAAAAUGAAGCAAUCAUGACAAUUGAUGAGGGAAUCAAUGAAUACUUAGAGUGAUCAUGCAUAUGUGAGAAUCUAAACAUGCGUAUAGAAAAUGACCCAAGCGGGUGUGGAUGCGUACCUGGGCAGUGAUCCAUAAAGCGCUAUCAAGAAGUGAAGUUAGCGCACAAUUAAAGAAUAAUUUCGAGCAUGUCAUAGAGCAUAAUAAAAUCGAUCAUGCAUGGCAAUUAAAUCAAACAAACAAUCAAUCAAUCAUGAGGAAAUCACAUGUGUUGGGCCCCCACCAAAACCCGAUUUAUAUUACAUGAAUUAAUCCCAUAAAUUCCAUUAUUCGGAAUUACGAAAAAUUCGUUUCUGCUUAUUAAAGUCAAGAGGAGCAGAAGAUUGUUUGAAAGCCAGAGCGGAAUUAAAACUAUUUGGGAGAAAAUUAGAUUUUUGAAAUUUAUUAGAAAAUUGGAAUCUUGAAGAUCACUAGAAAAUUGGAAUUUAGAAAUUAACUUUAGGAAUUGGAAUUUAGGAAUUAAAUUUUAAAGAAAUUGGAAUGUUGAAAAUUAUUUGAGAGUUUGGAACUAUUAAAUUAUAAAAAUUGGAAACUUGGAAUUCAUUUGAAGGUGAAAUUUUUGAAAAUAAAUAAAUAAAAUGAUGACAAUAAAUAAAUAAAUAAAUAAACAAAUGUGAAAAUUGAAAAUUUAGAAAUUAGAAAUUAAAUUUGAAAAUUGGAAAUCGAAAUUUUGAAGAAUUAUUUAAAAAUGGAAUUUUAAAAAUAAAAUAAUAAUAAUAAUAACAAUAACGAAGAUAGUAAUUAUUAAAUAAAUAAAUAUAAAAAUUGAAAUUUUAGAAAUUGGAAAUUAAAUUUAAAAAAUUAAAAAAAUGAAAUUUCGGAUAUUAGAGUUUUGAAUAUUAAAUUGAGAAAAUGAAGUUUGAAAAAUUAAUUUUAAAAGAAUUCAGAAUUUUAAAAAUUAAAUUUAAAAAUUAAAUUAAGACAUCAACAUAUGAAAGAAUUAAAAAAAAAAAGAAAAAAUUUGAGAUUGGUAGUGGGUUGGUCUUGUCGGUGGUGAUGAUGGAAAUUACAACAUGGAAUGAUGGUUGGCUUUUAUGGAUAAAAAAAAAAAAAAAAAAAACAUUUGACUAAUGAUGAGAACUGGAAAUUGAGACUUUUAAUGGCACUCUCAUAAUAUGCUACUCCCAAAAUCAAAGGCAAACUAAAGUUAGCAUUGAUGGCGUUUUAUGAGAGAGAUAAGUUUCAUGUUCCUGCUGCGCAGACUUGCUGGCAUCCUCUCGUCUCUGCACAGCUCCGCCAAGUACUCCAGCCGAGAUCUUCUUGUCCCUUCACAAAAAUACAUCAGCGUGUUUUCCUUCGCCGAGAACUGUAUGGACCAGCUUCUCCCGUCCAAAGAGGCGGAAAUCCUUGGCUUUGACGGACGACGGCGACGCUGUUUUAUCAGGAUUGGAAACGGAGUCGGACGAUGACGAAUCAUGGCCUUGCAACUCGUUGGUGAUCUUUUCCAGCGAGGAUUCAGAUGCGGCUCUCGAACCUUUGGCGUGUUCAGCCAUUUUUAUCGGACUGGGAUCCGAAACACAGUCCUAUCGUGUCGGCGAAAUGAGAGGGGAAGAUGAUACUUCAGGGACAGAAACAAGAUUCCGAUGAAUGAAAAUGGAGCUGAGAGAGUGGCGACGAUGGAAAGAGAAAUGGGUUCAUAUUAGUGGAAAAAAACAUAUACAGAGUCAAAACCAAACUGCAACCCAUGUCUCUGGUGUCUCAUGAUGGAUAAGACGAAGGCCUUCAUCAGUUUCUCAAGCUGGAUCCAUGGAACAGAGAAAGAACCAACAGCACAAGGGUAUAAACGAACACAUAAAGCAACAAAGACAUCCAGUAGAAUGAUACCCAGAAUAAAAAAAUAUGGUUCACAAUGAACGUACCUGGAGUGCUUCCUGGAGUCGGAUUUGCUCCCCUUCCCCUCAGCUUUCCUGCCCCAGCCCCAAAGAAAUACAUAUAUUUUUUCUCUGCUGGCAGCUUCUUCUCCAAGCUGUCUCUCGCUGCCACCAGCAGCUCGCCUCAUCCCAUCCCAUGGCCGCCCAAAGCAGCUCGUUUCCCGGUGGUCAGAGAAGUAAUCAUAUAAAAAUGGCCAAAAACUCCUCCUCCCCGGUAGGGGGUCUACAGUUUAAUUUUUAAGAAUAGAAAACUAUUUAAAAAAUGAUUUCUAAACAAGCUUUAGCUUUGAAGUUGGUAUCAUUCUAGAAACAUAAGGUUAUGUUUAAUUUUUGAAAAGCAAUAGAGAAAUAAAAAAAAUAUUAAAGAAAAUGAUUUUUUUAAUAUUUGAUUUCAUUACAAAAAAAAUGAAAGAAAAUCAAGUAUAAUUAAAAUUAAUUAAAAAAUUAUUUGUUUUUAAAUUAUUUUAAUCUAUAUAAUGAAGGGAAAUAAAUGAAAUAAAUUUGAAGAAGUAUAUAAAAAUAAUUUAAUAAAUUUAUUUAAAUCUGUUUUUUUUUUCUUCCUUUUUUUUCUUUCCUCUUACUUUUUUAGUUGCAUUUUUUUCUCAAAUUUUUCGGUAAUCAAAUAUAGUUUAAAGGUUAGUAUACAUUAUUAAACAAUUAAUGAAUAACUUAAACUUUUGGUUUAAAUAGAGUGGGUUUAGUUUAAGAAUAUUAACUAUUUGUAAACUUGUUAGUUUUAUUUUUUAUUUUUUAUUUUUUAAAAUUCUUUGCAGUUUCAAAUAUUUCCUAUUGAAGUAAUUUAAUGGGAGUUAAAUAUAUUAUAAAGGAAAACAUUUUCGAAGUUGAAGUCUCUACAUGCAGUGAUAUAAACUAACACUUCAAACACAUUCAUACAUGCUCUACCCUUAAUUAGUCGAAAAUUUAAAGAGACUGAUUAUGUUAUUGAAAUUUUCAAUUUUAAACUUUGAUAUAUAUAAUUAAAUUAACUAUUAUCUUAUUUUUAAUUUUUUUAAUGCUUAAAAAAAAUAUUGAGGAAAAAAAAGAAAAAAAAAUAGAUUUUACAUUAAUAAAUUAUUUUUAUUUGUUUUUUCAAAUUUAUUUAAUUUAUUUAUAUAUAUAAAGAUUAUAUAAUUUUAAAAACUAUAAUGGUAUAUUCAUUUUUAAUUAUAUUUUAUUUAAAAAAAAUCUAUGAUAAAUUAAAUAUAAGUGACUUAUUUUCUUUAAUAUUUUUUCUAUAUUUUUAUGCAACUUAAAUCAUGAUGAAAAAGAAAAAGAAAAAGAAAAAAGAAAUAUUGGUCAUAUUUUAUGCAUGAUAAAGAAAAAUUUCUUUGGGUGUGAUUUAAACUUUAAAAAAAAAACCAAUUUAUUUUCAUGUUGGGUUAUUUGGUUAGAAGGAUGAAAUAAUUCUCAAUUAAAAAUUUUUUUUUUAAUAAAAAUAAUUUUAUCUUUUAAAACUUAUUGGCAGAUUAUCUAAAUAUUGAUCUCAAAAAUGUAUUAUUUUUAAAAUUUUAAAAUUUAAAAUUAUUUCAUCCUUUUAAUCAAUUUAUUUUAAAAAAUUCUCUUUAAUUUGGUUCAAUCUUUUCAAUGGACCUCAACUUUCCAUAUUGGUAGAUACCUUGAGAAAGAUGUCUGCCAAUCAAGGUCAUGAAGCAAGGCAUCCAAAACUCCUUAGCAGAUAGAAUUAUUAUUUUGAAGUUUAAGAAUGAGAAAAUGACAUCAUUUGUAAUUAAUUUUUGGUUUUGUAAGAUUAAGAAUGAGAUUAGAAAAUAUACUUUUGGAUGGAAUAUUAUAAUCGUAUUAAUAUAUUUAGAUUAAAAUAAUUUAUUUAGAUUGAAUAUUUUAUACCUAAUCUCUAAAUGUAGCGAUGGAAUAUACUCAUAUUUGAUUCUAAUAAAGUGAUAGGAAGAAAGAAAACUCGGAAAAAAAUGAUCUUUUAAAAAAAUACAAAAUUAAAUUAAAUUAAUUAAAAUUUAAUAUACUUUUAAAUUAUUUAAUAUUCACAAGACUUUAUUUAAUUUAUGCUCCAAUAAUACACAAAAAUGCAAAUUAAUUAAAAAUCAAAUAACUUAUUUUUUAAAGAAAACGUAAAUUACAAAUUUCAUGAUGUUUCAUUUUACACAAAAAUGAAAGAUUAAAAAUGGUUUCUAAUUUGUCCUUACAAAAAAUGUGACAUUAGGUGGAUUCCUUGAGACAUGGUGGACUGAUUGGUACCUAAGUUAUGAUGAUGUCUUCUCAUACAUUUCUUUUAAACUCAUCAAAUCAUUAAAGGGAAUGUAUCUAAUAAAUUUAAAAAGAAAUUCCUCACUUUUUUUCUUAUUAACAUUUGUUUUAUCUUUCAUUCCUUAUGAAUUCUAAAUUAAUGUUUUCUUUGUUAUAAUUAUUAUGAAUGGACAUCCACAUUAAUUAGUCUUUGACAAUUUAUUUGUGAAAAUGUAUUUAUAGCAAAAAAAACAAAUCAUGCCUAAAAUCAGGUCAAAUUGUUUUAAUUAUUCAAAUUGACUUUUUAAUUAGUAAUAAGAUUAAGUAUACAAGUCUUAUUUGGCUGUUCUAGGAGUAACUAUUGAUGAAUAUUAUGGCAAAUUUUUUUACUAAAGAGAUUUAUUACCAUGAUAUUAAAGAAGGUGAAUAAAUUUUUUUCUUAAAGUCUCAAAGAAUGAAGCAACAAUAGAUCAUGAUCCCAAAAUCUCUAUCAAUUUCUUCCAUCUUUAUAUUUCCAAUUAAAAGCGUAGUAACUUGGUUAUAAUUAGAAUAUCUUUCUAGUUUGUGUUUAACUAACUAAAAAGGAAAAAAUAUUUUUUUGUUAUGCGGUUCAUUUUAUACUAGGAAUUACCUUUAAAGUGUUUUUAUAAAAAUUUAUGAUAAUUUUAGUAUUUUAAAAAAUUUUCAUUGAACAUAAGUCUAGUUUUUCGAUUGUGUUAUAGGAGUUUUAUCUAAUAAGAUCAUGUCUGAUAUGUUUUUUACCGUAAAGAAGUGGAAGUAGAAAUGAUUACUUUUGUUAUAUAAUUGAUUUUAUAUUUAAAACUAUAUUUUAAAAAUAUGUUUAGCAAAUAUAAAAAUAAUUUAUAUUUUUUAAAAAUUAAUUAAAUAAAGCUUUGAUUCUAACAUCAAAGCAUUUACAUUUUCAAAAAAUUGAUGAAAAAUUGAUGAUCAAGAAAUCUAAGAAGAAUUAUCUUUGGUAUUUAAAGGAUGAUUUUAAAGUUCAAAUGACUCCCAAGUGAAACUUGAAUGCAAUCAAAGCCUAUAACACCAUUGGAAAUAUUAUUAUUUCAUUAUUUUAUUUAUAAAAAUUUGCACUCUACUACAAAAUAAUAGAACUAUAUAGUAGUUUUAUUAUAUAUAUGUGACUUGAGUCAUAACUUGGGUUUUGGUAUGACUUAGGUGGAAAUUGUUUUUUUUGGUUUUUUAGUUAAAGUAAUUUGUUUUCAGAAUUUAUGCUGUUUAUUUUUCUAUUUUUUCAUAAUUUAUUAUAAAUUUUUUACUAAAUAAAAAAAGUCAAAAUAUAUUACUUUUUUUAAAUAGAAAAAAUAACAUAUUUGAAAAUGUGAAUCUCAAUAAUGAACUACACCUAGAGGGGGGUGAAUAGGUGUUGUAGAACAAUUUAAAAAUUCUCUCAACAAAGAUUACCUAACCUUAGACUAUCUUAAUGUCAAGAAUUUUUUUCUUCCAAUAACUUUUCAACAAAGCAAAACAUCCACAAGCAAUAAUGUAUACAUCAACACUCUCCCAACAAUUUAUCAAUGUAAAACACAUGCAAAUGCUUCAACACUCCUAAAAAAUAAAUCAAAAUAUAGAGUGAGAGAAAGAGACAAUGAACACCGGAUUUUUAACGUGGAAAACUUCCGAAGAGAUCAAAAACCACGGGCCUAUCACCGAUUGAAAACUCCACUAUGAAGAAUAAAAACUGAGUACAAGGUUUUACCUAACUCAAGCCAAUCAAUCCUUCCCGGAAUACUUGACUAGUACCUUCAUUUUCAGCUUCUCCUGUUGGAGCACACUUGGAGUCCGCACCAAGCUCAAUCUCGGCCUCUUCUUGAAUCCACACAAGAAGAAAAUGGGUUUUUACAUAAACCCAAAUAGAAUGAGAGAUUGAGAUGUGAAUGAAGGAAUGAAUCAACCCAUUUAUUGCUCAAGAAAAUCCAUUGAAAACUAGUUUGGAAAAUAUUAAGAGAAGUGGAUUUUCUUUGCAAUCAAAAACCCUAAAUUAGGAAAGCAAAAAUGAGAAAAUGAAGAACACUUGGAGUGUGGCUGCUCUCCCCACGUUUUCUGCAGUCUCUCUUACCAGAAAAUGAGAGAAGAUUGGUUUUUAAAGUGUAAAAAGAAACCCUUAAUCUAAUGGCUGAGAUUUGAUCAAAAAAACAUUAGUUGGAUAGAUCCACCCCUACACUUGGAUCGAUCCAGAAACAGAAGAAUGAAAGCUUUGCACCAAAAACCAUUUUUCUCAACUUUCUAACACAUUUAAAGAUUAAAAACCGGGUUGAUUCACACUCAAUCACUCCACACUUGACUACAUAUCUCGGCCUCUUAGCAAAGUCUUAGUUUUCAAAGUCAAGUAGUACAAAUAGGAAUAGGAAAGCCGAGUUAGGGGACACUUAGGAAUUUUGUCCGGAAUUGCCAACCUAGCUAAACACUCACAAUAUUGAUUUUUUUUUUUAAUACUUAAUAGAAAUAAAAUAUUAUAAAAACAAACAACCUAAUAUUUAAUACUAUUAAACAUUAAGUACCUAUUUAGAAUUAAGUAAAAAAACAAACACCACCUUAACCAUAGUAUCAUUUGGGCUUCCAUGACUACCCUGUAGCAACUGGACAAUAGAUGCUAUGGUCCAUGACUACUCUUUAACAAGAGACUUCCGAUAAAACAGGACCUAAAAAACCAUAACAAUCCAGCUCAUCAUGCAGCAACCUGACCAAAGAGCCGCUUGCGAAGCUGCAGUGGGAAGAAAACAAGAAAAUGGUUAAAGAAGAAUGGCCACACAUGGAUAAACUAAGGCUAUCAUUCACCAUCAAAUUUGAGAGACACAUGCCCAUAUAAGAUGAAUGCAGCAGAUAAUCUAAAGAUGAAAUAUCCAAUUGACUGAUAAUUGGGUAUAUAAACCAAUUAACUGGGAAAAAAAAAUGAACUUAAGAAGGAUGAAUACCCCUGGAAGUUUUUUUAUGAAAUACAACAUCCAAUCUUGCAUCAAGGGUGUUCUCCCAUAAAAUUUUUCUACCAGAGGGAUUUUCCAUCACUUUUCUUUCAACAAAAGCUGUUUCAUCCAUGUUUAUAUAUUUCCCACAACCAGUCCGAUAUAAAGAGUAAAAGAUGCAUGAGUUAUAUAUUAUUUUUUUGAAAAUGAAAGAUCAGCCAGCAGUCUCACAGAAAGAGUACAUUUGUACCUUUACAAACCUUUCCACUACAUAACAACUGUUAGUAAGCAAAACAGACCAUAUGCCCACAAAAAAUGGGAGGAUCAAAGUUUACGCUUCUGCCAGUGAUCCAUUUCCAAUACCUCAAGUUAGUGUUUAAGUCCAUGAUCUAGGUUUCUUUCUUUUUUCUUUUUUUAUUUAUUUUCCUUUUUUUUUAAGGUAAUAAAAAGAGAACACCCUGGUCUGCUCAACCUGUUUGGGCAAAGUAAAAUUUGGGCAAAUUAGCUGAGUUUAUAUUGACCUGAACCACAAGAUCUUUGAGAAGCCUUUUAUAGACAUGGUGAUCAUGUCCAGAGACGAUGUUUUAAAAUGCAAUUCAUUAUUGCAUAUUGAUACUAUCCAGUAGGUAGAAGUAGAACCGUAGAACAACUCAUAACUGCAAAAGCAUACCAUUAGCCUUCAAAGCCUGUUUAAGUUUCAGAGCCAAUCUCCUGAGGCGUUACUGCCAUUUGAAGAUCGAGACCAGUACUCCGUGACAAGCUGCCCAAACAGCGAUCCCUCCUUCUUUAUCAGUUUCAUUGGCACAUCGUACUCUACUAAUUUUCCUACGGAAGCAAAAGCACUAGUUAUUUGAAUUUGUUUUACCAUAUUGAUCCCAACUAGAAUGAAAUGUUCCUUCGUAGAAACUCACCGUCACUGAUAGCAAGCACCAUUGUGCAGUCCAUCACGGUUGGGAUUCUGUGGGCUACUGUAAUUACAGUGCAGUCUGCAAAUUCUGUUCUUAUGGUCUUCUGGAGAAUGGAGUCUGUUGCAUUGUCUAUAGAUGCAGUGGCUUCAUCAAGCACUAGUAUCCGACUUCUCUUCAGUAGGGCACGUCCCAAGCAGAAUAAUUGUCGCUGGCCCAUGCUCCAAUUUGAUCCGUCAUGUACAACUGUAGGGCAGACAGAUUGUUAGCAAGAGUUUUUGAAUCCAAAGAAUGGUACCAGUGUGUUUUAUGUUUCAUACCUAAGGAGUCCAGGCCCUCUUCUUUCUCUUGAACAGCCCCUCGAAGUUGACAUUUUCCCAGAACCUUUCACACAUUCAUGAGAAACAAUCUUAGUGUAGGAUAUAAAGUAAAUUUACCUUAUUAGGAAUCUGUACUUUUUGAAGGGACUACCACGACAAAUAUUUGGUAUGGAAAGAAAAUUAGGAGGUAUUUAAUAGCACUCUAAAACAUCAUUGUGUUCCAAAACACAGAAUAUCAGGAGCUCGAUCAAUGACAAUGGAAUUCAAAAUCUGACAGCGUUUAAUUAGUUUGUUAGUGUAGAAACUGCAAUGUCUAUGCACUUAAGAGUGAAGCCUGCUUCAUAUCACUGGCAGAAUCUUUUGGAGAUCUGUAACAUAUCAUGAUUGAAUCCUAAAAUUAGCAACCACAACAAAUUAAUAGGAAACUAACCUCCCAUAUUUCCUCAUCAGUAUGCAGCGAUAAAGGGUCAAGAUUGUAUCUUAUAGACCCGCUAAACAGAGUUGGUUCUUGUGGAAUGAUCCCAAGACGUGAUCUGAGAUCAUGAAGCCCAAUUGUGGAAAUAUUUAUGCCAUCUAUAAUUAUCUGUCCCUCUGUAGGCUCUACCAAGCGAAACAAAGCGCUGAUAAGAGUUGUCUUUCCACUACCAGUCCGGCCAACGAUCCCAAUUUUCUGUCCUCCUCCAAAUUUGCAACUGAUUCCUUGAAGAACUAGAGGAGCAUUGGGCCGAUACUUGACCUGCUCAAUGUCAUUUCAUCUACUAUAUUAAUCUCUAUAAAUCUUGAAGUUGUAGAACAGAAACAGAUACCCAAAUUCUUACUGAUUUCACCAUACCUUCAAAUCAUAAAUUUCCACUUCACCAAUAGUAGGCCAACUGGGUGGCGGUCGAUUACUCCCUAUGACUUCAGGGGCUUCGCUAGGAAUAUUCAUGUACUGUUCUAAUCUUUCAACAGAAACAAUCAUAUUUGCUAAAAGGCACUGGCUUUGGGCAGAAAAUACGAAGAAUACAUUCACUGAAAGGCCAUACGAUAAUGCCAUUCCAAUAAAUCCUGCCAUCAGAACAUUGACGACGAAAAUGCUCAUUAGACAAUAAUACCAUAAAUGGUUGUCAAUUACUAAGAUUUCUUUAAAUAUCACAUUGACCAAGCUGUUUUUGAAUAUCAAAUACUGUGCACGUAGGAAGUUAGUAGAAGGGUUUUUCUUUUGGAUUAUGCACUGAUCUGUUUGUAUGAUUAUUGUGUAAGAAUCAUGGACUUGUUAGCUCACUUUGUUCUUGAUAUAACCCAAGUUUCUAGUUAUGAUGUUGAGAAAGUUGGAGCUAAAAUGGGUUUAUUAUAGUGAUUUUUUAUUACUACCAACUGGGCAGCUGUUGUUUCAUGAUCUACAAAGCCCUAUCUUGUAUUCAUUUCACUCCACUCAUCAAGGUCAAGUAGGAAACUAAGAUAGGUAACUUUCCUAUUUAAUGUUGGAUAUUUUAUUGGAUUUUAGGUCAUUACUGAAGUGCCUCUAAAUAUUUCAUUCUCCUGAAGUUCCUUCUUUUCAGUGAGAAAUAUGAAAAUUUAGUGGAGACCCUGGGUUGUAGAUCUCUUUCUUUUACAGUUAAAAACAUAUGCUAUCUAGCAAGCAGUCAUAGCAGGCAACAGAAAAGCAGUUUUUGUCUUGAGGUUUUGAUCCUUUUGGAGAAUUUACCAUUUGUGGCCAUAAUCAGACACUUCAUAUUUAUCAUUUUCUGGUUGUAGAUCUUACCUACUGAAAAAUCCUAAUGGUAUCCUCUUGUAAGGAUCAAAAUUCACAUGAUCAAUUACUAUUCUCAAAGUUGCACAGGCCCCCUUAGGUUAAACAUGUUAUAAACUUCUAGGGAGUUAAAACUGUUGAAAUUAGACCAAAGAGAGUUUUAAGCAACUGCAAGGACAAUUGAAGGAUCUGGCAUGGACCUUCUAAUUUUGUGUCCAUUCUCAUUGGUCAUAUAGUUAGCCUCGUGAGUAAAUUCAAACUAUCUUGGAUUUUGCCUAGUUUGUUGUAUCAACUAAUGGAUAGUUGAGCAUGCAGGGUUAGGUACAGGAAGGACCUGUAAUUUCGGUAGUGUCUUUAGUUUGUAGUUUAGUACCCUUAUGGAAUCCUCUAGGAAAGAAAGAGAUAAGAGUAUUUUUGGUUUUUUUUUCUUUUGGAGACGGAAGGUUUUGUUAUUAGCAUCCACAAAUGGGGUAAAAUGGCAGAUCUCUAGCUGAUAUUGGGCAUGCUAGUUCAGGUCAUUAGGCCAGUGAUCCGGGUGGCUCCUAUGAGAUAAAUCUUCAAGUUGCUGCAAGUUAAAAAUGCAAUAGGGUGAUGGAAAGGCUGAAUGUAACAUGGGUGGAAUUCAUAAAAAAGAUAAAAAUCUCAAUAUUGAAUGGUGACUUGUCUUACUAUCAAGCCAAAUGGCUGGAAAGGAUCAUUGUAAUUAAACCAAGGUUGUGAUCAAAUGGUACUUGUAGAGGAACGAAUUUACGAUUUCAUCUUAGAGAAUUGAUAGUUAGGAGUGUUCAAGCAAACUAACAAAUUCAAAUGUAAUCGAGCUGUAUAAACUAGUGCCAAAAACACCUACCAGAUUUAGAAGAACUCGUAUGAAGCAAUGUUAGGGCAAGGGCUGAAGAUGAGAGAACGAUAGCACAUAGUAUUUCAAGGCGUUGGAUCAACCACUCAUUUGCUGUGAAACUGUAGAAGAAUGGACUUGCAUUUAUGUCAAUGAAGUCCAAAUUCUUUGAAAAGUGUCUAUCUUCCUCCCCGAAAGCUCUAAUUGUCAUAGCACCGGCAAUGGACUCAGCAAGAUGGCUUGCAACAAAGGACUUCGUCGUGCCAUUGAUUCGCAUCAAUUCUUUUCCAGCAGCAAAGUAGUACCUCUGGUUGUUAAAAUGAAAACAAACAUGAUCAAUUGCUGAGAAGCCAAGAGAAGUACAAAAUAUCUUACAGGGAACACACGCCUAAAUGAGGAGGGAAGCAGCUGCCUCUACUACAUCUAUGAAAACAUGAGACAGCAGUGUAUUACCUGGAUGAGUAUACUAAGAUAAAUUGUUGGUAAAAUGACAAACACAAGUUCCCAGGCAAGAAUAGCCAAUACUCCAAAACUGGCAUAAGUAGUCACAGCUGCCCCAAUAGCAAAAGUAAAUUUGAAGGCCAUAUCAAGGUCAACCACACUUAAAUCAGAAGAUACCUACAAAACGACAAUAAAAAAAUAAGUCUUCUGUUGUUUGUAAUAUGCAUAUAUUUUAAGCAUCUUACCCGACUGAGUAUCCUUCCCAGAGGUGUCGAGUCAUAAAAGGACAUUGGUGCUCGAAAAAGGGAGCUCAGCAGUGUAGAAAAAAUAGAUUGCGAUGCCCCAAGGCCUACAACAACAACAAAAAAUGAUCGGAGCAACAAAAAUAUUGAUAAGCUUAAUCCAAUCCCUGUGUAUACUGCAAUCAGUUUCAAUUGGCUAACACUAGGAUUCUGGACAUUUGCAGCCAACCAAUAGUUUUGCACCAACUGCGCAACAAUGAAUAUGAUAUGAGAUAGAUUUGCCAAAAAGAAGUAGAACAAUCCCUUGCUAUAUUUCAAGUAUUGUAGGUAAGGCUUCAGACCAGUGUCUCCCGUUUCUCUUUCUUCUUUCUUAAUUAACUGUUCUCCUAAUGAAUCUCUUAACUGUUUUUCGCUGUCAAUCUUUUGUAUCUCUCCCUUCGGAAUUUUAGACUUCUGGGUAGAAUCAUGCUCAGGUUGCCUCUCAGAACCAACUGUGGCAUUGUGUGCAAUGAUAAGGUCCUGGAACUCUUGACUAGAGUGCAUCAGCUGGUCAAAGGUAGCAGCUUGCAGGAUCUCCCCUUCGGACAUUAACUGCCAAUAAAAUUAGUCAUUUGAACUGUUUGAUUUAAAAGCAUCUGUUACUCAAAGAUUGCCUUCCAGAUUUAGAGAUUAUUUGUUAAGAAAGGAAAAUGAAGUCAAAUCAGAGUUAAAGAAGGAUAUCCAAGAAAGUAACUGUACUGACCAAAACCGAAUCGAAUGCAGGGAGGAAGUCCACUUGGUGGGUCACAAGUAUGACUGUCUUCAUUGAUAGAGCUCCCAUGACAUAUUCCUGGCCACAACAGGCAUUAGCGUUCACUCUGAAAGCAUAGCAUAAUUUCUGACAAAGGAGAACUGUACUUACAUUAAAUAGAUUGGUUGCAGUAUGUGCAUCAACCGCACUAAAUGGAUCAUCCAGGAGAUAUACAUCUGCAUCCCGAUAUAAAGCACGUGCAAGUUGAACCCGCUGUUUCUGUCCACCACUCAGAUUAACACCUCUUUCUCCUAUUUCAGUGAGAUCACCGAAUGGAAGCAUCUCAAGGUCCUUCACUAGGGCACACUUCUCAAUAGCCUCUCUGUAUCUGUAAGGAUCCAUAGCAGACCCAAACAGAAUAUUUUCUUGUAUUGUCCCUGUUGGAAUCCAUGCUGUCUGAGAGACGUAAGCAAUCUUCCCAUAAACUCG